Molecule: ribosomal RNA, 463 nt
Filed under: uncultured bacterium
Lineage: Bacteria
Description: bacterial SSU rRNA
Rfam family: Bacterial small subunit ribosomal RNA
Source: RNAcentral
ACGAACGCUGGCGGCAUGGAUUAGGCAUGCAAGUCGAACGGUUUAUGCGCCGCAAGGUGUAUAGAUAGUGGCGAAAGGGUGAGGAACACGUGAGUAACCUACCCCCAAGUUGGGAACAACCCUUCGAAAGGAGGGCUAAUACCGGAUGUGGAUACGAGACCGCAUGGUUUUGUUUCUAAAGAUUUAUCGCUUGGGGAGGGGCUCGCGUCCCAUUACGCUUGUUGGCGGGGUAACGGCCCACCAAGGCUAUGACGGGUAGCUGGUCUGAGAGGAUGACCAGCCACACUGGGACUGAGACACUGCCCAGACUCCUACGGGAGGCUGCAGUCGAGAAUCUUCCGCAAUGGGCGAAAGCCUGACGGAGCAAUGCCGCGUGCAGGAUGAAGGCCCUCGGGUUGUAAACUGCUGUCAUCGGGGACGAAUAAAUGACGGUACCCGGAGAGGAAGCAACGGCUAACUACGU